UACGUAGGGGGCGAGCGUUAUCCAGAUUUACUGGGCGUAAAGCGCUCGUAGGUGGCCAACUAAGUCAGACGUGAAAUCCCUCGGCUUAACCGGGGAACUGCGUCUGAUACUGGAUGGCUUGAGUUUGGGAGAGGGACGCGGAAUUCCAGGUGUAGCGGUGAAAUGCGUAGAUAUCUGGAGGAACACCGGUGGCGAAGGCGGCGUCCUGGACCAACACUGACACUGAGGAGCGAAAGCCAGGGGAGCAAACGGG
RNAcentral lists this ribosomal RNA (253 nucleotides) under uncultured bacterium. RNAcentral describes it as "partial 16S ribosomal RNA". It matches the Rfam family "Bacterial small subunit ribosomal RNA", at positions 524 to 776 of the family's 1533-position model. The record is from RNAcentral.